AGUGAACGCUGGCGGUAGGCCUAGCACAUGCAAGUCGAACGGCAGCACAGUAAGAGCUUGCUCUUACGGGUGGCGAGUGGCGGACGGGUGAGGAAUACAUCGGAAUCUACUUUUUCGUGGGGGAUAACGUAGGGAAACUUACGCUAAUACCGCAUACGACCUACGGGUGAAAGCAGGGGAUCUUCGGACCUUGCGCGAUUGAAUGAGCCGAUGUCGGAUUAGCUAGUUGGCGGGGUAAAGGCCCACCAAGGCGACGAUCCGUAGCUGGUCUGAGAGGAUGGUCGGCCACACUGGAACUGAGACACGGUCCAGACUCCUACGGGAGGCAGCAGUGGGGAAUAUUGGACAAUGGGCGCAAGCCUGAUCCAGCCAUACCGCGUGGGUGAAGAAGGCCUUCGGGUUGUAAAGCCCUUUUGUUGGGAAAGAAAAGCAGCAGGUUAAUACCACGCUGUUCUGACGGUACCCAGAGAAUAAGCACCGGCUAACUUCGUG
This 492-nucleotide ribosomal RNA is filed under the name uncultured bacterium. Its description in RNAcentral is "partial 16S ribosomal RNA". It matches the Rfam family "Bacterial small subunit ribosomal RNA", at positions 29 to 507 of the family's 1533-position model. The record is from RNAcentral.